GACGAACGCUGGCGGCGUGCUUAACACAUGCAAGUCGAACGGUAAGGCCCUUCGGGGUACACGAGUGGCGAACGGGUGAGUAACACGUGGGUGAUCUGCCCUGCACUUCGGGAUAAGCCUGGGAAACUGGGGAUAAUACCGGAUAGGACCACUGCCUGCAUGGGUGGCGUGGGAAAGCUUUUGCGGUGUGGGAUGGGCCCGCUGCCUAUCAGCUUGUUGGUGGGGAGAUGGCCUACCAAGGCGACGACGGGUAGCCGGCCUGAGAGGGUGACCGGCCACACUGGGACUGAGAUACGGCCCAGACUCCUACGGGAGGCAGCAGUGGGGAAUAUUGCACAAUGGGCGCAAGCCUGAUGCAGCGACGCCGCGUGAGGGAUGACGGCCUUCGGGUUGUAAACCUCUUUCAGCACCGACGAAGCGCAAGUGACGGUAGGUGCAGAAGAAGGACCGGCCAACUACGUGCCAGCAGCCGCAGUAA
Molecule: ribosomal RNA, 478 nt
Filed under: uncultured bacterium
Lineage: Bacteria
Description: partial 16S ribosomal RNA
Rfam family: Bacterial small subunit ribosomal RNA
Source: RNAcentral